UUGACCUCGGAUCAGGUAGGGAUACCCGCUGAACUUAAGCAUAUCAAUAAGCGGAGGAAAAGAAACCAACAGGGAUUGCCCCAGUAACGGCGAGUGAAGCGGCAAGAGCUCAAAUUUGAAAGCUGGCCCCCUCGGGGUCCGCAUUGUAAUUUGCAGAGGAUGCUUCGGGAGCGGUCCCCAUCUAAGUGCCCUGGAACGGGCCGUCAUAGAGGGUGAGAAUCCCGUAUGGGAUGGGGUGCCCGCGCCCGUGUGAAGCUCCUUCGACGAGUCGAGUUGUUUGGGAAUGCAGCUCUAAAUGGGUGGUAAAUUUCAUCUAAAGCUAAAUAUUGGCCGGAGACCGAUAGCGCACAAGUAGAGUGAUCGAAAGAUGAAAAGCACUUUGAAAAGAGAGUUAAACAGCACGUGAAAUUGUUGAAAGGGAAGCGCUUGCGACCAGACUCGCCCGCGGGGUUCAGCCGGCAUUCGUGCCGGUGUACUUCUCCGCGGGCGGGCCAGCGUCGGUUUGGGCGGCCGGUCAAAGGCCCCUGGAAUGUAACGCCUCUCGGGGCGUCUUAUAGCCAGGGGUGCCAUGCGGCCUGCCCGGACCGAGGAACGCGCUUCGGCUCGGACGCUGGCAUAAUGGUCGUAAGCGACC
Molecule: ribosomal RNA, 634 nt
Filed under: Penicillium anatolicum
Lineage: Eukaryota; Fungi; Ascomycota; Eurotiomycetes; Eurotiales; Aspergillaceae
Description: eukaryotic LSU rRNA
Rfam family: Eukaryotic large subunit ribosomal RNA
Source: RNAcentral